Aquila chrysaetos chrysaetos is the source of this 720-nucleotide long non-coding RNA. RefSeq lists it as uncharacterized. Lineage: Eukaryota; Metazoa; Chordata; Aves; Accipitriformes; Accipitridae. The record is from RefSeq and is a predicted model, not a curated record. The transcript is spliced from 3 exons.
CCGGCGGUGCCCGCCGGCCAGCCGUAGCUGAAGGAGGGGCGCCCGAGGGGGCGCAGCCCGCCGCAGGUGCCUGCCGGCCGCCCGGCUGGGCCGUGGGGCAGCGGUGUGCCUGAGCGCCGCUGCCUCCGGCUGCUUAGAGCCGCUCAGGGAAAGCAGUCUUCACUUCGUUAACUUAAUUCGCUUAAUGGAAAGCUGCUCUUCCUGCCCACUGGUCGCAAUACGCAGCACACGGGACACUGGGUCCGCAGAAGCGGGGGAAACGUAAAUUCUCGUUCGCUCUUUCUGCCCACCCUUGGAAAGGACGCGGGCCGGGUCGUGUGGGGGAAGCGAGGGCAACGAUGGCGGGGAGGAAGGCAGGCUGGAGGGCCGGGGGAGCCUGGCGCCUUCUCCUUCCCACUCCGCUUCUCCUUGCCACUGGAGAAGAGUGCAUGGGAAUGACCCCAGGUUAACGACUUCGCUUAAGGAAUGAAAUGACUAACGCUGUACCGCAGCUGAGAAUCUCCCGUAGCGGCUUUGUUUAAUGAACAAAAUGACUAACGCUACUUCAGCCAAGAAUUUCUCACGUAAUCCGGAUUUCAGAUUAGAAGAGCUUUAGCAGGGUAAGCUGAAAGAGACUUGGCCUGAGUGAUUCCUGAAAGGAUGUCUGAAAGCAUAUUGGAAAUCUGUGUCACAGUCUGUCUCUUUGGCUGACCUUCAGGAAGACUCCAUUAAUAUGUUCUG